Pipra filicauda (Wire-tailed manakin) is the source of this 3531-nucleotide long non-coding RNA. RefSeq lists it as uncharacterized. The transcript has 4 exons. NCBI's taxonomy places the organism in Eukaryota, Metazoa, Chordata, Aves, Passeriformes, Pipridae. The record is from RefSeq and is a predicted model, not a curated record.
UAUGAAAUACUUGCAGAGAAGGGACUGUGUUCUCCUGCUGCUCUUGGUUUGUGGUUUGCCUGCAGCAAAUGCAGCACUUGCUCUAGACAGCCUGGUUAAUUUAUAAGCGUUGGAAAUAGAAUCUUCUGAGGAGCAGUACAGGACAAACUGCUGUAAGUAGUGCUUUCAGAGGAUUCAGUUCAUGUUGCUUGAUAGCCAUGUUUCAGCUGGUGGCAUGUGCUUGGAUGUGACUGAUCUUUUAAAAGCUGGUUGGUGAGGGAUGUUGUCCUAAGCUUGGGGAGCCCAGUGGAGCAGUCAGUGCCUGGCUGCCUGACACUGUAUGCUGACUCAAACAGAAACCCUUUUUUCUUUCCAGAUGUAGGUGACAUAGUCACUGUAGACAUUUGCUCUCCUGCCUCAGCCACAGGGUAGGUACAAGCCCAGCCAGGUCGGUAUCUCACUGCCAUUGCAGACAGACUCUGUGCCAAAUCUAUGUGUAAAGACAUCUCAGUUACUCUGGUCAACAUUCCCAUGUGAAAAGAAUGGGUAGGAUAUUUCAGAGGGAUAACAAUCCACAAGUCAGUGAUCAACGAAGCGUUAAAUGAAGAAUGAUGUGUGCCAUUCGCAGUCUUCACACCUACAAGGAAUCUUUUCAGAGCCUGACUGUGUCGUAUUUCAUCGAGAUACCUGCUGAAUGUGUUCAGAAUAUAAAUGCACAAAAUCCUAUUCCCCUCAGGAGAUAAAGGGCUGUGUGACACCAAACAGCUGAGUGUUUCAGAGCCAAUGGACCUUGAUCCAGUCCCUGGGCCUGCUCCAAUGGAUCUUGAACUGCCCUCUCAUGGGCAUGGCAGAACCCCCACUGCAGAACAGGCAGCCAGGACCACUGGAGGACAAGGUCUGUGUGUGCAAAUCUUGUCCCUCUGUGUGAUGUAGUGGAUCCCUUGGGUCAUUUUUGCUUCCUGGCAAUGCAGCUAUUGCUGAGAGAAGCCUGGCAGCCUGCCCUGCCUGGUGUGCCCCCGCAAAAGCUUUGAAACCAGCAGGAGGGUCUAGCUGCUUUCCCACUGUCAGGGCCUUGCUCUUCCCUGCCACUUCCCCAGCUGUGCAGCUUGGGCCCAAGCAGACCCUCUGCAGAAGGGUUAAAAGUACUGCAGAAGCCAAGCCAAGGAUAUAAAUCAAAGCUGUGUUGAAAGCAUGGGGUUACAGGUGUUUGUCUGGACAGAAAGUUUUGUGCAGGAUACCAGGAUCAUGCACAAGGAAUCUCAUGACCUGAUUUCCAAGCUGUUGGGUCAAUAGUUUCUUUUCUUUGACUGAAAACAUAGGCAGCAUGUGAAUUGGCAGUGGCCUUUCUGUUGGACAGAUGUGUGAUACACAUCGGCACACAGGUAGGCUGUGGCACACUUGGGUCUCAUGUGGAAUAGCUGGUGACUUCUAAGGGAAUUACCUUCUGUUUCAUUGUCAUUGAUAUUAGUGGCUUUGGAUUACUGCUUUCAUGAUAGUUUUAUAGGUUAUUGUGACAAGAAGCCACGGUCUGAGCUCCUUUUUCAUUUGCCUUGACCAUUAUACACAUUCAAAAGAAAAGGCCAUUCAGGUAGGAUACAUCUUAUCCUCCUUGAGCUGCGUGAAGGCCAGGACUCUAGUAAAUGUGUAUGGGUGCUCUCUGUUUCUCCCUCAUCACUGAAGGUAGCCAGAGUGAUUCAUUAGGGAUGUAUGAGAGUGAAUCAUCCAGCAGCACUGUCUGUCUCUGCUGGUGGUGGAGAGAGCCAAGCCUAGGCAUUAACUCUAGGCUAAAGGGGCAUGCUUUUCUUGCUCAGAGCCAAGUGUGAGUUUAAUUUCCAAUUCGCAGUAUUUAGGUGCAAACGAGCAUAAAAAGAGUCUGGAGUGCUGCAUGUCUGCAAAGGCAUCUGUUGCCCACAGAGAGAUCAAUGUGCUGCCGAUGCUUGAGCAUUCUGCAUAUGCCCAGAGCUCCUCUUUGCCACGUCUUCAGUGAGCAUCUCCUGCAUGAUGAGACACAGAGAGGCUCCCUUUUGCUGAAUCUGCAGGGGCAGCUGUGACUUCUGGCAGGAUGUACAUAGACAGCUAGGUUGGACAUAACAUGGAAUCACAGAAUCAUUAGGGUUGGAAGGGGCCUCUGGAGAUCAUCCAAGGCAGGGUCACCCAGCACAGGUGACACAGGAACACAUCCAGGUGGCUUUGGAAUAUCUCCAGAGGGAGACUGCACCUCCUCCCUGGGCAGCCUGUUCCAGUGCUCUGCCACUGUAUCUUAAGGGCUAGUAGAAGCUGCUAGUAGAGUUCAUCUAUCAGAAACCUCACUCCUGGUUUCCUCAUGCCAGCAGCAUAUCCAGGUCAGUUAGAGGCUGGAGAAGAUAAAAGUGUACUGGACUGAAGGUUUGUACCCCUUCCUGUGGGACACAUCAGCACCUCUUAGGUUAGUGUUGCUUCACUCAUACCAGGCAAAGCAAGGGCUACCUCAGAGUUAGAGACCUUUUAUGAUGUUAAGCAUGGUGCCAACAGGCAUUUGUUUUAAAUGAGCGCUGGAACAUAAUUAAAAUGGUAUCUUUACAGUUUCUGGAAGAUCUCUCUCUGGGAGAAGGAGGGCUGCUGUGAGUCUUAUUUCACUGUGAUCAAGUUAUUCCUCCCGGACAGUGUGAAAGACAAAUCGGGGAGUUUUGGAUACCAUCUCUUGAAGAGAAUGAAUCUGGAUUCAGUGCAGCUGGCUGUAGAAAGAUUUCUUUAACUGGGAAGAUAUGACAGGUUGUGAUAUCGGACUGCAGUGAAGCUCCACCUGUGCUGUUCUACCCUUCAUGAGUGAGCAGUGCUGGGCAGUAAAGCAGGCAUGCUCCUGCCCUUUUCAGAAGGCGUGGAGAACACUUGUCCAGUCAUAACUGAAACUAUUCAAGAUGCACAGGCCUGAAAUGUCACCUUAAGUUUCUGUUGGUCUCUGAUGUGGAUCCUGUCUUCUAGCAAACUUUAUGGACAACAGCUUUUGUUACAAGGAGAGAUGGUUUGAUCCUCUCCUUAAUGCAAGCCCCACACCUUCACCUAGAUUCCUUCCUGGGCAGCUGCAGUGGAUCUGAACACCAAGGGAAUUUGACCCACUGGAUUCCUUUCCUUUCUCUGCAGUUGAAUGAAAAGUGUGUGUCUUUUGAAGAACAGCAACUGAAAGAAAUAUUGAUGACUGCCAGAGCAUCUACAGAAAAGGAUAAGAAAAUUACUACAACAGUGGAGACAAAGGGGCUUUGUUAACUCUUUCUAGUAGGUUGUAUAUAUUAAUAGAAACAAGUAAAGUUUUGUAUUUUUUAAGAGAAACACACAAGGCUUUGAACUGUAUUGUUUUAAUUGCAGCUAACUGAAUGAAUUAAGUGGUAAAUUGCACACAGUACUUUGAUUGUCUAACUCUCUGUAUGUGAGGCUUUGGGAACAGUUUGUUAUUAUAAAAGAAUAGUACUAACAAGAAAACAGCCAGCAUGUAAUUGCUGGGUUGAGGGGCAGUUUGGGGAAGGCUGAUACUUAUUUAUAAAUUAUUAAAUAAAAGCACAUAAUAAGUGGAUCAUC